This 419-nucleotide ribosomal RNA is filed under the name Staphylococcus aureus. RNAcentral's name for it is "partial 23S ribosomal RNA". It matches the Rfam family "Bacterial large subunit ribosomal RNA", at positions 1 to 412 of the family's 2925-position model. Lineage: Bacteria; Bacillati; Bacillota; Bacilli; Caryophanales; Staphylococcaceae. The record is from RNAcentral.
AGAUUAAGUUAUUAAGGGCGCACGGUGGAUGCCUUGGCACUAGAAGCCGAUGAAGGACGUUACUAACGACGAUAUGCUUUGGGGAGCUGUAAGUAAGCUUUGAUCCAGAGAUUUCCGAAUGGGGAAACCCAGCAUGAGUUAUGUCAUGUUAUCGAUAUGUGAAUACAUAGCAUAUCAGAAGGCACACCCGGAGAACUGAAACAUCUUAGUACCCGGAGGAAGAGAAAGAAAAUUCGAUUCCCUUAGUAGCGGCGAGCGAAACGGGAAGAGCCCAAACCAACAAGCUUGCUUGUUGGGGUUGUAGGACACUCUGUACGGAGUUACAAAGGACGACAUUAGACGAAUCAUCUGGAAAGAUGAAUCAAAGAAGGUAAUAAUCCUGUAGUCGAAAAUGUUGUCUCUCUUGAGUGGAUCCUGAG